Molecule: non-coding RNA, 45 nt
Filed under: Schistosoma margrebowiei
Lineage: Eukaryota; Metazoa; Platyhelminthes; Trematoda; Strigeidida; Schistosomatidae
Source: RNAcentral
AUCGAGCUGACGAGUUCCAAAUAGGACGAAACACGCGUCCUGAAU